GAUGAAGAACGCAGCGAAAUGCGAUAAGUAAUGUGAAUUGCAGAAUUCCGUGAAUCAUCGAAUCUUUGAACGCAUAUUGCGCCCUCUGGUAUUCCGGCGGGCAUGCCUGUUCGAGCGUCAUUUCAACCCUCAAACCCCCCGGGUUUGGUGUUGGGGAUCGGCUCUGCCUCACGGCGGUGCCGCCCCCGAAAUACAUUGGCGGUCUCGCUGCAGCCUCCAUUGCGUAGUAGCUAACACCUCGCAACUGGAACGCGGCGCGGCCAUGCCGUAAAACCCCAACUUCUGAAUGUUGACCUCGGAUCAGGUAGGAAUACCCGCUGAACUUAAGCAUAUCAAUAAGCGGAGGA
Molecule: unclassified non-coding RNA, 347 nt
Filed under: soil metagenome
Description: partial contains 5.8S ribosomal RNA, internal transcribed spacer 2, and large subunit ribosomal RNA
Rfam family: 5.8S ribosomal RNA (bases 1-120)
Source: RNAcentral